Molecule: transfer RNA, 65 nt
Filed under: Tropiocolotes tripolitanus
Lineage: Eukaryota; Metazoa; Chordata; Lepidosauria; Squamata; Gekkonidae
Description: tRNA-Cys
Source: RNAcentral
GGCCCCGUGGUGAGCACACGCCGAGAUGCAAGCUCGGAGACGCACCCUAAAGGGUGCCGGGGCUU